Molecule: ribosomal RNA, 460 nt
Filed under: uncultured bacterium
Lineage: Bacteria
Description: partial 16S ribosomal RNA
Rfam family: Bacterial small subunit ribosomal RNA
Source: RNAcentral
CCUACGGGGGGCAGCAGUGAGGAAUAUUGGUCAAUGGCCGGAAGGCUGAACCAGCCAUGCCGCGUGAAGGUCAGUGCCCUAUGGGCGUUAAACUUCUUUUGUGCGGGAGCAAUAAUGGUCACGUGUGGCCAGACGAGAGUACCGUACGAAUAAGCAUCGGCUAACUCCGUGCCAGCAGCCGCGGUAAUACGGGGGAUGCAAGCGUUAUCCGGAUUUAUUGGGUUUAAAGGGUGAGUAGGCUGUGAGGUAAGUCAGCGGUGAAAUGCCCCCGCUCAACGGGGUGAAGUGCCAUUGAUACUGCCUGGCUGGAAUGCGGAUGCGGUGGGAGGAAUGUGUGGUGUAGCGGUGAAAUGCAUAGAUAUCACACAGAACACCGAUUGCGAAGGCAUCUCACGAAUCCGCGAUUGACGCUGAUGCACGAAAGCGUGGGUAUCAAACAGGAUUAGAUACCCUUGUAGUC